Molecule: long non-coding RNA, 577 nt
Organism: Gallus gallus (chicken)
Lineage: Eukaryota; Metazoa; Chordata; Aves; Galliformes; Phasianidae
Source: Ensembl
CUUGAAAGUACGCUUGCAGAUGUAUAGGUACGGUGAAGCCCACACUCCUUGCUUAGAGCAGGGGGUUGGACCCUCACCUUGAACACACUGUUGAUGAAAUUUGCUGCUGAUGAGGGACAGAACCCACAGACUCUGUCGAAGACUGACUGUUCCUGUGGCUUUGCUUGCCCGGUGUGGAGGUGAAGGGAGUGUGAGCUGCAUCUUAUGGAAAGCAUGCACAUGCACAUUGGGCGCCUCUUGCAGCCAUGUGUUUUCUUGCAGAACAACAAUGAGAUGAAGAUGGGGCAUUAAGCCCUUGGAGAACAUUGACACAUUGCAUGGACAACAAGAUGACCUUGGUAUGGACUCAAUCCUGUUUACACUGUACUUAGAGUGCAUCACUAUUUGAAGGCCUCUUCGUAGACUUGAAGUAAAUUUUGCCCUUUGGUGUUUGCCGAACUGGGGAAACUCAGCAUCUUUCAGUUCUGAGCCUUGGAAUGGAGCUAAAACAGUUGGAAAAUGAUACUAAUAACAAAUGAUCCAGGAGCUCGUGGUACUUAAGAUUGCAGUAAAAGCAACGAAUGAGUGUGACUCCUUC